RNAcentral lists this ribosomal RNA (496 nucleotides) under uncultured bacterium. Its description in RNAcentral is "partial 16S ribosomal RNA". It matches the Rfam family "Bacterial small subunit ribosomal RNA", at positions 28 to 506 of the family's 1533-position model. The record is from RNAcentral.
GAUGAACGCUGGCGGCGUGCCUAAUACAUGCAAGUCGAACGCAUAGCGAAAGGUGCUUGCCCCUUUCAAGUGAGUGGCGAACGGGUGAGUAACACGUGGACAACCUGCCUCAAGGCUGGGGAUAACAUUUGGAAACAGAUGCUAAUACCGAAUAAAACUUAGUGUCGCAUGACACAAAGUUAAAAGGCGCUUCGGCGUCACCUAGAGAUGGAUCCGCGGUGCAUUAGUUAGUUGGUGGGGUAAAGGCCUACCAAGAAAAUGAUGCAUAGCCGAGUUGAGAGACUGAUCGGCCACAUUGGGCCUGAGACACGGCCCAAACUCCUACGGGAGGCUGCAGUAGGGAAUCUUCCACAAUGGGCGAAAGCCUGAUGGAGCAACGCCGCGGGUGUGAUGAAGGCUUUCGGGUCGUAAAGCACUGUUGUAUGGGAAGAACAGCUAGAAUAGGAAAUGAUUUUAGUUUGACGGUACCAUACCAGAAAGGGACGGCUAAAUACGU